Molecule: ribosomal RNA, 693 nt
Filed under: uncultured bacterium
Lineage: Bacteria
Description: bacterial SSU rRNA
Rfam family: Bacterial small subunit ribosomal RNA
Source: RNAcentral
GGGACAACAGUUGGAAACGACUGCUAAUACCGCAUAAGCGCACAGCUUCGCAUGAAGCAGUGUGAAAAACUCCGGUGGUACAAGAUGGACCCGCGUCUGAUUAGCUGGUUGGUGAGGUAACGGCCCACCAAGGCAACGAUCAGUAGCCGGCCUGAGAGGGUGAACGGCCACAUUGGGACUGAGACACGGCCCAAACUCCUACGGGAGGCAGCAGUGGGGAAUAUUGCACAAUGGGGGAAACCCUGAUGCAGCAACGCCGCGUGAGUGAAGAAGUAUUUCGGUAUGUAAAGCCCUAUCAGCAGGAAAGAAAAUGACGGUACCUGACUAAGAAGCCCCGGCUAACUACGUGCCAGCAGCCGCGGUAAUACGUAGGGGGCAAGCGUUAUCCGGAUUUACUGGGUGUAAAGGGAGCGUAGACGGUUUUGCAAGUCUGAAGUGAAAGCCCGGGGCUUAACCCCGGGACUGCUUUGGAAACUGUAGAACUAGAGUGCAGGAGAGGUAAGUGGAAUUCCUAGUGUAGCGGUGAAAUGCGUAGAUAUUAGGAGGAACACCAGUGGCGAAGGCGGCUUACUGGACUGUAACUGACGUUGAGGCUCGAAGGCGUGGGGAGCAAACAGGAUUAGAUACCCUGGUAGUCCACGCCGUAAACGAUGAUUACUAGGUGUUGGUGGGUAUGACCCAUCGGUGCCGCAG